AGGGGGGAAAGGGGGGGCACAGCACUGAGUUUUGGGCUCUCCCCCUCCUACAGCCCCCCCACGGCACAACGGGAGCUCCAGGAACUGCGGGAGCGCAUGGAGAGGUGAUGGGAAUCCAUGGGACCCCAUUGACCCCAUAGAGACACCAUUGACCCCAUAAGGACCCCAUUUACCCCAUAGGGACCCCAUUGACCCCAUAGAGACCUCAGUGCCCCAUAGAGACCUCAGUGCCCCAUAGAGACCCCGUUGACUCCUUAGACACCCCAAUGCCCCAUAGAGACCCCAAUGCACCCCAUAGAGACCCCAUCAACCCCAUAGAGUCCCCAGUGUCCCCAAUGCCCCCAAUGACCCCAGUGAUGUCCCCAAUGUCCCCCAGAUGCCCCCAUUUUCCCCAAUACCCCCAUUGUCCCCGUUGAUCCCAAUGUCCCUAAAAACCCCAAUGACCCCAAUGUCCCCAAUGACCCCAGCAACCCCCAAUGUCCCCAAUGUCCCCGAUGACCCCAAUGUCCCCAUUGACCCCAAUGUCCCCGAUGACCCCAAUGUCCCCAAUGUCCCCAUUGACCCUAACGUCCCCGAUGACCCCAAUGUCCCCAAUGACCCCAAUAUCCCCAAUGUCCCCAAUGUCCCCGAUGACCCCAACGUCCCCGAUGACCCCAAUACCCCCAAUGUCCCCAAUGUCCCUGAUGACCCCAAUGAUGUCCCCAACGCCCCCCAGGCUCCAGGAGGAUUUUGCCGCCUCGCAGCGCCUGAACCGGGUCCUGGAGGAGCGCCUGCAGGGUCUGACGCAGGCGGUGGCCCUACAGCGGGUAGCGCUGUCCCAAAGGCUGGCUGAGGCCCUACAGCAGUUCCUGGUGGCCCCCCCAGGGCAGGAAGUGGCCGUGGGGGUACAGGUGAGCGGGGGGGGGACAUGUGGGGACAUUGGGGGCAUUGGGGGUAUUGGGGACAUCGGGGUCAGUGGGGACAUUGGGGUCAAUGGGGGCAUUGGGGACAUGGGGGGACAUGGGGGGUAUUGGGAGCGUUGGGGACACAGGGCAUUGGGGACAUUGGAGUCAAUGGGGACAUUGGGGACAUUGGGGUCAAUGGGGACAUGGGGGACAUUGGGGGACAUUGGGGACAUUGGGGUCAAUGGGGUCAUGGGGGGACAAUGGGGAGAUUGGGGUCAAUGGGGACAUUGGGGUCAUUGGGGGACAAUGGGGACAUUGGGGUCAGUGGGGACAUUGGGGACAAUGGGGACAUUGGGGGUAUAGGGGGCAUUGGGGGAAACGGGGACAUUGGGGGCUUUGGGGUAUUGGAGAUUCUACGAGGACACUGGGGGGCACUGAGAACAUUGGGGUCACUAUGGGGACAUUAGGCUCCCUAUGGGGACACUGGGGACACUGAAGAGCAUUGGGAGACGUGGGGGAGAUUGGGGUCUCUAUGGGGACAUUGGGGUCAAUAGGGACAAUGGGGUCAUUGGGGACAUUGGGGUCACGUUGGGGUCUGUAUGGGGACAAAGGGGUCAAUGGGGACAAUGGGGUCACAUUGGGGACCUCUAUGGGGGCAAAGGGGUCAAUGGGGACAUUGGGGUCACGUUGGAGUCUCUAUGGGGACAAACGGGUCAAUGGGGACAAUGGGGUCAUAUUGGGGUCACAUUGGGGACAAUGGGGUGAAUGGAGACUUUGGGGUCACAUUGAGGUCUUUACGAGGACAAAGGGGUCAAUGGGGACAAUGGGGUCACACUGGGGUCUCUAUGGGAACAAUGGGUUCUCUAUGGGGUCAGUAGGGUCUCUGUGGGGACAAUGGGAUCUCUAUGGGAACAAUGGGUCCCUAUGGGGUCAAUGGGGGUCCUACAGUGCCGGUGUCCCUACAGACGUCCCCAUGGGGUCGGACCCCCCGUGACGGCGAUGGAGACAACGAGGAGGGGCCGCUGCCACCCCCCCCGGCCUUCCGGGACCCCCCCACCCCACAAUAAAGUUCUGCCAGCCCCACA
This 1969-nucleotide long non-coding RNA is filed under the name Phasianus colchicus (ring-necked pheasant). RNAcentral describes it as "lncRNA (ENSPCLG00000015969.1)". Lineage: Eukaryota; Metazoa; Chordata; Aves; Galliformes; Phasianidae. The record is from RNAcentral.